This 76-nucleotide transfer RNA is filed under the name Klebsiella pneumoniae. RNAcentral's name for it is "tRNA-Thr". It matches the Rfam family "tRNA". From Rfam's summary of the family: Transfer RNA (tRNA) molecules are approximately 80 nucleotides in length. Their secondary structure includes four short double-helical elements and three loops (D, anti-codon, and T loops). The record is from RNAcentral. Lineage: Bacteria; Pseudomonadati; Pseudomonadota; Gammaproteobacteria; Enterobacterales; Enterobacteriaceae.
GCUGAUAUGGCUCAGUUGGUAGAGCGCACCCUUGGUAAGGGUGAGGUCCCCAGUUCGACUCUGGGUAUCAGCACCC